CAACCCUCGAACCCCUCCGGGGGAUCGGCGUUGGGGAUCGGGACCCCUCACACGGGUGCCGGCCCCUAAAUACAGUGGCGGUCUCGCCGCAGCCUCUCCUGCGCAGUAGUUUGCACAACUCGCACCGGGAGCGCGGCGCGUCCACGUCCGUAAAACACCCAACUUUCUGAAA
Molecule: unclassified non-coding RNA, 172 nt
Filed under: Trichoderma asperellum
Lineage: Eukaryota; Fungi; Ascomycota; Sordariomycetes; Hypocreales; Hypocreaceae
Description: partial internal transcribed spacer 2
Source: RNAcentral